AUGAUUUCCUGCAACGGACAUCAUUUUCAUCGCAACUUCAAAGAAUGCAUCAAGAAUCUGCAACCGGGAAUUGAUUCAACAAUUAUCGCCAUCUUCAUUGCAUUCUUCAACAACUUCUAUCUACUUAUGCAUAUCUCUCACUACUGCAACAUCAAUCUGAACUUCAUCUCAUUACAUAAUCACUUCUUCAUUCAUCGUCAAAACGCAUCUUUGCUACUACGCGAAAGCUG
Molecule: non-coding RNA, 230 nt
Organism: Vicia faba (fava bean)
Lineage: Eukaryota; Viridiplantae; Streptophyta; Magnoliopsida; Fabales; Fabaceae
Source: the annotation of a GenBank genome assembly